Molecule: non-coding RNA, 1187 nt
Organism: Podarcis muralis (Common wall lizard)
Lineage: Eukaryota; Metazoa; Chordata; Lepidosauria; Squamata; Lacertidae
Source: RefSeq, a predicted model, not a curated record
ACUUGUAUAUGACUGAGCAAGAGUGGGGAAAAGACCUUAGGGCUUAAAAAAAAACUCCACCUAUUUUGCCUCACACACAUGAGGACUCCUGCUGAAGUUAGGAGCGCUGAUCUUUGGACCAGGAAGCUUUGGCAGCCAAAGAAAUGGCAGAAUGCUGGAGGAACACUUAUAAGAAAGAAACACACACUCAUAACUAUAAGCAGAUCUAUCAUCCACAGAUGACUUAUUUUCAGGUGGUCUCAGUAGCAUCACUCCAUCUGAGCCAUGUCUGCACUCGCAGCAGUGUUACUGCUGGUGUUGCAUGAAGAGUCCUACAACAGAAUGCACCUAUUUACAAAGGAACAUGGCAGGCACAGACGUCAUGACUGCGGCAGAAGCCUCACCUGUACGUAUACAGAAUGGUCCAGGUUGGUUUUACAUCCAAUAUACAAUCAACCCAUGACACAGAACAAGUUGGGUGUGUUUAACUGUACCUGACACACAACUAACCUGUUGAUUUUUUGGGUGGGGUGGGGUAGGGACAAGUGAAGUCACAGCCUUGAAUUAUAUUUGUGAUUUACUGUCCUCAAUGCCUUUUCAGGCCACCUUUACAUCACUCUGGCAUGAAUAAUAAAAUAGAAACACUCUAAUAACAUUUAAUCCCCCAAGUUGUCCAGGGAAAGGUAAAAAAGGAAUGCAACAGAGAGAGAGAGAGAGAGAGAGAGAGAGAGAGAGAGAGAGUUUGGUUUGGCACAGGAACAUAAUGCAAAUAAGAGGAUGGUAUAUGGCAAGACUAGCUUACUUUAUAAAGUAAAGGCUCCUAUCUAAAAACCAACAACUUGUCCAGCAUGUUGCAUUCCAGCAGAAUUUCACACUGAUCAGAUACCAAGAUGCUGGGAUUUUCAAGUGAAUUACAGAUGUAGCAAUCACAGAUUGCAGUAAAAAGUGUCUUUUGCAGGUGGAACAGGCCAAGGGGGACAGCGAGUGAGAGCAGAAGAAGACACAAGAGAGGGCGACGACUGUUUUGAAAACACUAUAAAGUACUCCUUGGUGCCAGUUCUUCCAGGUCUGUCAUUCAUCCUCCUUGGGAAAGGUGUCUUGGAGGAAAGGAGGAGGAAAUGCCAAAUGGUGCUUCUGCGGACUAAAUCAAGCCCAUGAUGUUUCCCCUAAUAAGGUUUCUCUCCAGCCGCAUUUGUUCCGACAUACCU